CUAAAAAAUUACAUAUAUGCGCUUUGACUAAUUGUCAAAUACUAUGUUAAGAAUCCGAAAUAUGGGCCUUACAACACAAACUCAACACGGGCGAAGCACAAGGAAGCCGCGUGAGAAAUAGUCUACCCCAUGUCCCAUACGGCAGCCAUAUGAGAAAUAAUCUGGUCUGUAUCCUAUAUGGCCAGAGCCGAAGCCACGUCAACACUCGGCUAACCAGUGGAUUUUAGACACAUCAUGGAUCAAUAUCCUGCAACAGACUUGUAAUAUCAGAGUCUCUUGUUGUUAAGGGAUUUUCUCGAGUAAAUUCUAUUUUAAGCAUAAUAAUUUUUACGUCAUUAAAUAUUGGCUUACCACUUUUGUAAAGAAUCCCGCGUUGAAAACGCAGCACAGCCCUCUUCACUUUCAUUGCCUGUAUAUAUGUGUUGUAUAUGAUUAUUUUGUGUGUGAAUAAAAAUGUACUUCUUAUAAGCCUAAUUAGAGGAUUGUCACUUUCUCCUCUACAGUAAUUAAUAUAUAUUAUUUACCCUUAU
This 530-nucleotide long non-coding RNA is filed under the name Citrus x clementina. Its description in RNAcentral is "Citrus clementina (C. clementina) long non-coding RNA (CCLE_LNC003532)". The record is from RNAcentral. Lineage: Eukaryota; Viridiplantae; Streptophyta; Magnoliopsida; Sapindales; Rutaceae.